AAGUCGUAACAAGGUUUCCGUAGGUGAACCUGCGGAAGGAUCAUUAACACGUAUCCACGUAUUAACCAAAUGUGAACUUGUUUUCAACUCCCUGUAUUUACACAUGAAUUGGAAAGAAAUUAGAAUGUUUUGAAUGGGACUUUCGGGUCGUCAUUCUAUUUCUUAUACGUUUGACUUCGGUCAGGCAUACAAUUGUAGUGCAAAUCAGGCAAAUUUCUUAUGUGUUUAAUCCCCAUUUAAAGUUAAACACAUGAGAGCUACUAAUAACUUAUUUCACCCCCUUUUUGCUAGUUGACUUUUUAUAUGUUGUUAUCUUUAUAGAAUUAAUUUUCUGUAAUGAUCUCACACGUUUAAUUACUUGAACGUUAAAAAUACAACUCUUAGCAAUGGAUAUCUAGGUUCUC
Molecule: unclassified non-coding RNA, 404 nt
Filed under: fungal sp.
Lineage: Eukaryota; Fungi
Description: partial internal transcribed spacer region
Rfam family: Eukaryotic small subunit ribosomal RNA (bases 1-46)
Source: RNAcentral